AAGGCAAAAACAUUUUUCUUUUCCUUCUACUUCAUUGCCUCUUUAUUGAGUGUCUCACGUAGGGCUGGUCACAGUCAGUGGAGGGUUCCGAUCCAAUUCGGAGAAAUUAAAGGGUCUCCUGAUUCAGUUCGGAUUCGGAGAUUCAGCCAUUGAAUCGGGCUGAAUAUCCACUGAAUUGAAUCUGGGACCAAAGCUUUGCGCAGUCCUAAUGUUUAGCAUCUCA
Molecule: long non-coding RNA, 223 nt
Organism: Gavialis gangeticus (Gharial)
Lineage: Eukaryota; Metazoa; Chordata; Crocodylia; Gavialidae
Exons: 3
Source: RefSeq, a predicted model, not a curated record